This is a long non-coding RNA of Melanotaenia boesemani (Boeseman's rainbowfish), 222 nucleotides long. RefSeq lists it as uncharacterized. The record is from RefSeq and is a predicted model, not a curated record. The transcript has 3 exons. NCBI's taxonomy places the organism in Eukaryota, Metazoa, Chordata, Actinopteri, Atheriniformes, Melanotaeniidae.
GAACAUGAGGGAGAUUACAUUAACAGGAAAUCCUUCCACAGCAUCAAUGUUCAGAUGAUCUGUGAUGCUGACUGCCUUGUGAGCAAUUUAGAGGCAAAGUGGCCUGGCUCAGUGCAUGACUCUAGAGUCUUUUGGGCUAGUCCAAUUUAUGAGAGACUUUCACAAGGUGAAUUCUCUGGUGUGCUGCUGGGAGAUAAAGGAUACGCCUGUGAGUCAUUCCUC